AUCUGCUCCAAUCAUGCACU
RNAcentral lists this small nuclear RNA (20 nucleotides) under Arabidopsis thaliana (thale cress). RNAcentral describes it as "snRNA_16062". Lineage: Eukaryota; Viridiplantae; Streptophyta; Magnoliopsida; Brassicales; Brassicaceae. The record is from RNAcentral.